Molecule: ribosomal RNA, 909 nt
Filed under: uncultured bacterium
Lineage: Bacteria
Description: bacterial SSU rRNA
Rfam family: Bacterial small subunit ribosomal RNA
Source: RNAcentral
ACGCUGGCGGCGUGCCUAAUACAUGCAAGUAGAACGCUGAAGGAGGAGCUUGCUUCUCUGGAUGAGUUGCGAACGGGUGAGUAACGCGUAGGUAACCUGCCUGGUAGCGGGGGAUAACUAUUGGAAACGAUAGCUAAUACCGCAUAACAGUAGAUAUUGCAUGAUAUCUGCUUGAAAGGUGCAAUUGCAUCACUACCAGAUGGACCUGCGUUGUAUUAGCUAGUUGGUGAGGUAACGGCUCACCAAGGCGACGAUACAUAGCCGACCUGAGAGGGUGAUCGGCCACACUGGGACUGGGACACGGCCCAGACUCCUACGGGAGGCAGCAGUAGGGAAUCUUCGGCAAUGGACGGAAGUCUGACCGAGCAACGCCGCGUGAGUGAAGAAGGUUUUCGGAUCGUAAAGCUCUGUUGUAAGAGAAGAACGAGUGUGAGAGUGGAAAGUUCACACUGUGACGGUAUCUUACCAGAAAGGGACGGCUAACUACGUGCCAGCAGCCGCGGUAAUACGUAGGUCCCGAGCGUUGUCCGGAUUUAUUGGGCGUAAAGCGAGCGCAGGCGGUUAGAUAAGUCUGAAGUUAAAGGCUGUGGCUUAACCAUAGUACGCUUUGGAAACUGUUUAACUUGAGUGCAAGAGGGGAGAGUGGAAUUCCAUGUGUAGCGGUGAAAUGCGUAGAUAUAUGGAGGAACACCGGUGGCGAAAGCGGCUCUCUGGCUUGUAACUGACGCUGAGGCUCGAAAGCGUGGGGAGCAAACAGGAUUAGAUACCCUGGUAGUCCACGCCGUAAACGAUGAGUGCUAGGUGUUAGACCCUUUCCGGGGUUUAGUGCCGUAGCUAACGCAUUAAGCACUCCGCCUGGGGAGUACGACCGCAAGGUUGAAACUCAAAGGAAUUGACGGGGGCCCGCAC